RNAcentral lists this ribosomal RNA (488 nucleotides) under Anolis leditzigorum. Its description in RNAcentral is "partial 16S ribosomal RNA". It matches the Rfam family "Bacterial large subunit ribosomal RNA", at positions 1911 to 2608 of the family's 2925-position model. Lineage: Eukaryota; Metazoa; Chordata; Lepidosauria; Squamata; Anolidae. The record is from RNAcentral.
AGUGAAACUUAAACGGCCGCGGUAUCCUAACCGUGCAAAGGUAGCGUAAUCACUUGUCUUAUAAAUAAAGACCCGUAUGAAUGGCUAAAUGAGUAUUUAACUGUCUCCUUUAACUAAUCAGUGAAACUGACCCCUCAGUACAAAAGCUGAGAUAAAAACAUAAGACGAGAAGACCCUGUGGAGCUUUAAAUUUUAACAAAAUAUUUAAACAUAUUUAUGACAGAAAAUUUUUAGUUGGGGCGACUUUGGAGCAAAACUUAACCUCCAAGAAAAGGUGCCACCUAAACUAGGCUAACCGGCCAAACAUCUAGACCCAGUAUUUAUACUGAUUAAUGAACCGAGUUACCCCAGGGAUAACAGCGCUAUCUUCUUCAAGAGUUCCCAUCGACAAGAAGGUUUACGACCUCGAUGUUGGAUCAGGACACCCAAAUGGUGCAGCCGCUAUUAAAGGUUCGUUUGUUCAACGAUUAAUGUCCUACGUGAUCUGA